AGUCAAUGCUUAUUCCAACUAAAUUUGUUCCAUUUCAUCUGGAGCUCCACCACACGGAGAGAAAAGAAAAGAAAAGAAAAGAAAUCUCACAACAAAAACUAAGGUUAAGACAUGAUCAAGAUGGAGUUACCUGCUGCUGCAGGAGUUGCUGUCUUACUACUGGUUAACACAGUCCAAGCUGAAGUCUGCCCUCCUUCUUGCAUAUGCAAAUCACCCAAAGGAACGAAGAUCCAGCUAAUUGACUGCAGCUCAAGGGGACUAAAGGAAGUGCCUGCCCUGCCUGCUAGUACCAAGCAACUUUAUCUACAGAAUAACAGCUUGACCACUGUUCCUACUGGUGUAUUUGAUGGCUUAGUCAGCCUGGAAGAAGUGAACGUACUCAACAAUCCCUGGAACUGUGACUGCCACAUUCUAUAUCUCAAACUCUGGUUAGAAGACUUCAACUCUUCUCUCACCAACCUCAGCUGUGCAAGCCCAGCUUCCAUUGAGGGAAAGCCUUUGAACCAAUUAAGUGGGAAUGAGCUGGAUGGCUGUAGGGCACUUUUCCCAAUCAAAUGCCUUGAGUUCUUUUGGCGGGAUCUUGUUUUGAUCAUCUUUGCAAUAAUUGCACUUAUUUUAAUGGCAUAUGACCUGAAGCACUUCAAAAAGCUAGCCAUCAAGUUACUGUGAGCCAGAAUAAGCCUUUUGGCCUACUGCUGCAAAAGCAGAGCCUAGAAAACUACAAAUCACAAUGAGAUGUCAUAAUCACUAAUAGCUCUCUUCACUAGAAUAGCAAACUUCCCCGUCACAAAGGAUGCAAUUGCACAGGAAGUACAAGUUCAGAAUUAAGUCUAUUGGGAUGGGUCCCAAGAUGGAAAGCUUGGAUCCUCACAUAUCUCUUUCCCCAGAAUUCAGGUAUAAGAGCUUGAUUUGUACCCAUCUUUAAACUGCACUUAAUGUACUUAUUAGCAAGUCACAGUAAAUUAAUCUUAAACUGCUUUCAAUAAGCAUGUAGCUAAUAUAGGAUUGUUUUAGGAAGUUUUAUUUCACUCUAAUCUGUGAUUCUAAAAGAUGUAAUUUCACAUUUUUGCCAUUAUAGUCUCAGCUCUUCUCACAGAAGUUUUUACAAUGUAAUGCUAACUAACUAGCUUUUGCUAAUGUAUAGAUACAGAUGUAGUAUACAGAUUACAGUAUAUCAUAAUUACUAAGUUAGAUGCCAAUCCUAACUCUGACUCUGUAUACCCCUAUGCUGAUAUACAGUCAUAUUGACACACUUGCAUAGUCACAUUCAGCCAUUCUAUCAAACAGAGCAGUUUGCUAUACAUCAGUGACCUGUUUUUUCAGCUAUUUACUGCUCCCUCAGUCAGUGUCAUUUGCAAACUUUUUUAUUUGUGAUUUUGUGUUCUCUUUCAAAUGACUGAUUAAAAGAACCAAACCUUGCUGGCCUUUCCUUCAGAAGUUUAUUUACAGCUUUUGCCAAAACAGUACAAUAAAAUGAUAUUAUAAAAACAGCAUUUAUAUAAAUUGUAAUUUUACUAAAAGUAUAUAAUAAGAUUAUCCAUUGUACUAGUUUACACAAAAUUAAAACAGAACAUGAUGUAUAAUGAUAUCAAAGAAAAUGUUAAAUGAAGUCAUGAAUGAU
Alligator sinensis (Chinese alligator) is the source of this 1621-nucleotide long non-coding RNA. RefSeq lists it as uncharacterized. The transcript has 3 exons. The record is from RefSeq and is a predicted model, not a curated record. Lineage: Eukaryota; Metazoa; Chordata; Crocodylia; Alligatoridae.